AUACGGAGGAUGCGAGCGUUAUCCGGAUUUAUUGGGUUUAAAGGGAGCGUAGGUGGGAUAUUAAGUCAGCUGUGAAAGUUUGGGGCUCAACCUUAAAAUUGCAGUUGAUACUGGUUUCCUUGAGUACGGUACAGGUGGGCGGAAUUCGUGGUGUAGCGGUGAAAUGCUUAGAUAUCACGAAGAACUCCGAUCGCGAAGGCAGCUCACCGGGCCGGAACUGACACUGAUGCUCGAAAGUGCGGGUAUCAAACAGGAUUAGAUACCCUGGUAGUCCGCACAGUAAACGAUGAAUACUCGCUGUUUGCGAUACACGGUAAGCGGCCAAGCGAAAGCGUUAAGUAUUCCACCUGGGGAGUACGCCGGCAACGGUGAAACUUAAAGGAAUCGACGGGG
This 393-nucleotide ribosomal RNA is filed under the name uncultured bacterium. Its description in RNAcentral is "partial 16S ribosomal RNA". It matches the Rfam family "Bacterial small subunit ribosomal RNA", at positions 523 to 918 of the family's 1533-position model. The record is from RNAcentral.